Long non-coding RNA from Gadus macrocephalus (Pacific cod), 335 nucleotides. RefSeq lists it as uncharacterized. NCBI's taxonomy places the organism in Eukaryota, Metazoa, Chordata, Actinopteri, Gadiformes, Gadidae. The transcript is spliced from 2 exons. The record is from RefSeq and is a predicted model, not a curated record.
CACAUUUUACAUCAGAAAGUAAAUCUUUGUACAACCUGCUUAACCCAAAGGAAGAUCUUCCUUUCAUGGUUUAUGCUGAACCUUUCAGAAGCCCAAUAAAAUGCAGCAUUUGGAGUUCAGUGGAGUAUUUAAAUCAAUCACAAAGUGUUGUACUUCCACUGAACGGGUUGACCCCUCAGAGCACCAACAGCUGCUGCUCAACAACCCGAUGCACUACAGGUACGUCCAUCUGGUCCUCAACAACGUCAGGACUGUGAGGACCCCCCAGACCCAAGCGGCCCCCUCUAAUCUGACGCUCAGCAGCCCAGUGUGUGUGUGUGUGUGUGUGUGUGUGU